GAGGCGUGGCCGAGUGGUUGAAGGCGGCAGUCUUGAAAACUGUUAACGUUCACGCGUUCGUGGGUUCAAAUCCUACCGCCUCC
This 83-nucleotide transfer RNA is filed under the name Paraeggerthella hongkongensis. It matches the Rfam family "tRNA". From Rfam's summary of the family: Transfer RNA (tRNA) molecules are approximately 80 nucleotides in length. Lineage: Bacteria; Bacillati; Actinomycetota; Coriobacteriia; Eggerthellales; Eggerthellaceae. The record is from RNAcentral.